Molecule: ribosomal RNA, 484 nt
Filed under: uncultured bacterium
Lineage: Bacteria
Description: partial 16S ribosomal RNA
Rfam family: Bacterial small subunit ribosomal RNA
Source: RNAcentral
AUUGAACGCUGGCGGCAGGCCUAACACAUGCCAGUCGAGCGGAUGAAGGGAGCUUGCUCCUGGAUUCAGCGGCGGACGGGUGAGUAAUGCCUAGGAAUCUACCUGGUAGUGGGGGAUAACGUCCGGAAACGGGCGCUAAUACCGCAUACGUCCUGAGGGAGAAAGUGGGGGAUCUUCGGACCUCACGCUAUCAGAUGAGCCUAGGUCGGAUUAGCUAGUUGGUGGGGUAAAGGCCUACCAAGGCGACGAUCCGUAACUGGUCUGAGAGGAUGAUCAGUCACACUGGAACUGAGACACGGUCCAGACUCCUACGGGAGGCAGCAGUGGGGAAUAUUGGACAAUGGGCGAAAGCCUGAUCCAGCCAUGCCGCGUGUGUGAAGAAGGUCUUCGGAUUGUAAAGCACUUUAAGUUGGGAGGAAGGGCAGUAAGUUAAUACCUUGCUGUUUUGACGUUACCAACAGAAUAAGCACCGGCUAACUUCGUG